Molecule: transfer RNA, 64 nt
Filed under: Trigonopterus carinirostris
Lineage: Eukaryota; Metazoa; Arthropoda; Insecta; Coleoptera; Curculionidae
Description: tRNA-Ile
Source: RNAcentral
CAUGGAAUGCCUGACCAAAGGAUUAUUUUGAUAGAAUAAAUAACACAGUUUACUGUCUCCAUGA